GUGAAUCAUCGAAUCUUUGAACGCAAAUUGCACUCCCUGGUAUUCCGGAGAGUAUGCCUGUUUGAGGGUCAGUUUAAAUAAAAAUCGCUGUGGUUGCCGCCUUUCGUGGUGAGGCACCGGAUUUGGGUCGCCUUGCCUUCGGUUCUGGAACCUAAAACUUUGCAUGAUUUUUUUCGAACGUAUUUCAAUGCUUUUACGUACUUUUGAGUUACCGAG
RNAcentral lists this unclassified non-coding RNA (216 nucleotides) under Glomeraceae sp. RNAcentral's name for it is "partial contains 5.8S ribosomal RNA and internal transcribed spacer 2". The stretch from base 1 to 71 matches the Rfam family "5.8S ribosomal RNA", at positions 84 to 154 of the family's 154-position model. The record is from RNAcentral. Lineage: Eukaryota; Fungi; Glomeromycota; Glomeromycetes; Glomerales; Glomeraceae.